Molecule: ribosomal RNA, 328 nt
Filed under: uncultured bacterium
Lineage: Bacteria
Description: bacterial SSU rRNA
Rfam family: Bacterial small subunit ribosomal RNA
Source: RNAcentral
GAUGAACGCUGGCGGCGUGCCUAACACAUGCAAGUCGAGCGAAGCACUCUACUCGAUUUCUUCGGGAUGAAGGUUUAGUGACUGAGCGGGCGACGGGUGAAGGUAACGCGUGGGUAACCUGCCUCAUACAGGGGGAUAACAGUUAGAAAUGACUGCUAAUACCGCAUAAGCCCACAGCUCGGCAUCGAGCAGAGGGAAAAGGAGUGAUCCGCUUUGAGAUGGCCUCGCGUCCGAUUAGCUGGUUGGUGAGGUAACGGCCCACCAAGGCGACGAUCGGUAGCCGGACUGAGAGGUUGAACGGCCACAUUGGGACUGAGACACGGCCCAG